CUUGAAAUUCUUUCUUCUGCUUCCAAAAACACCUUUCCUGCCUCUCUGGCUCCUCUCUAUUAUCCCCUCCAUUCCUCUUCCUUUUCCCAUGCUCCAUACUGCAGCCUCAGGGAUUUCUCCAAUUUGAUCAGGACACUCUCCAGAUUAAAACAGUUGAUUUGCUGUUAUGCAAAAUCCUUAGCAUGGUUUGUAAGGUAACUCUGCUUAAUUCCCCUGGCUUUUUUUCUCUCAACCCACUUCCUUUCUUUCCACAAUCCAGCCACACUACACAAUCGACAGUUCCCUAAAUAAGCCAGGGUUUUUUUUCCCCCUCCUCCAACCAUUUUCAUAAACUAUUUCCUCAGCUGAAACACUUGUCUUUCCAAAACCCCCAAACUAACCCCACGCCUACAUUUACACAACUUGACUUGGUAGACUUCCACCUAAGCUUUCCUAAAAAACGCUCUUCCUGCCCCCAGACACUGGAUUAAGAUCUAUAUGUUGUCAUAAAUGCCCUGUUGUAGCAUUUACCAAUGGUAAUUAGCUUUUGUUUUGGUACUAGGGAUGAAACUUAGGGCCUCCUGCACGCCAGGCAAGGGCUCUACCAUUGAACUACAUCCUGAACCCUUGAUAAUUGCCUCUUACUGGUUGAAUCUCCCAUUAGACGCUAAGCUCCCAAAAUCCUAUAACUAUACCAUGUUCACCUUGGUAACCAGUAUAUAACUCUGUGCCAGACAUGUAACAGAAACAUAAU
This 733-nucleotide long non-coding RNA is filed under the name Marmota monax (woodchuck). Lineage: Eukaryota; Metazoa; Chordata; Mammalia; Rodentia; Sciuridae. The record is from RNAcentral.